This 490-nucleotide ribosomal RNA is filed under the name uncultured bacterium. RNAcentral's name for it is "partial 16S ribosomal RNA". It matches the Rfam family "Bacterial small subunit ribosomal RNA", at positions 28 to 507 of the family's 1533-position model. The record is from RNAcentral.
GAUGAACGCUGGCUACAGGCUUAACACAUGCAAGUCGAGGGGAAACGACGGGGAAGCUUGCUUCCCCGGGCGUCGACCGGCGCACGGGUGAGUAACGCGUAUCCAACCUGCCUCUGACUGAGGGAUAACCCGUCGAAAGUCGGCCUAAUACCUCAUGGCAUCGUCUGCGGGCAUCCAACGACGAUUAAAGAUUUCAUCGGUCAGGGAUGGGGAUGCGUCUGAUUGCUUGUUGGCGGGGUAACGGCCCACCAAGGCUACGAUCAGUAAGGGUUCUGAGAGGAAGGUCCCCCACAUUGGGACUGAGACACGGUCCAAACUCAUACCGGAGGCAGCAGUGAGGAAUAUUGGUCAAUGGGCGGGAGCCUGAACCAGCCAGGUAGCGUGCAGGAUGACGGCCCUAUGGGUUGUAAUCUGCUUUUAUGCGGGGAUAAAGUGAGGGACGUGUCCUUCAUUGCAGGUACCGCAUGAAUAAGGACCGGCUAAUUCCGUG